This is a long non-coding RNA of Felis catus (domestic cat), 444 nucleotides long. RefSeq lists it as uncharacterized. NCBI's taxonomy places the organism in Eukaryota, Metazoa, Chordata, Mammalia, Carnivora, Felidae. The transcript has 2 exons. The record is from RefSeq and is a predicted model, not a curated record.
GAAAUCUACAAUGAAAUUCCUGGUCUUGAUUAGUAUUUUGAGUGUGCUCAUGCAAAGAACAAGGGAGGCAGAGGAAGAUUUGAACACACCCAGGAGGGAAAACCUUGGGAAGCACAGAACAGACAGAGGUUUGAUGGUGCAUUCCUUGAAGACUGGAAUGAUGCAGAGGCAAGUUAAAGAACGCUAGCAGCCACAGGAAGAAGCUGGAAGAGCCAGAGCUCUCCAAAAGCCUAUCGAGGGGUUCAUGGCCCUGCCAAUACAUUAAUUUCAGCCCAGUAAAGCUGAUUUUCGACCUCCAGAACUGUAAGAGAAUGAAUUUUUGUUGGCUUAUACCUCCAACUUAUUGAGAAUUUGUUGCAACAAAAAAAUGAAGAUAGCCAUCAUGUUUAACUUCAUGCCAGUUUGUGUGUCUUCUAAUUUCUAAUAAAGUUCUAAUUCCAUGUA